UACGUAGGUGGCAAACGUUGUCCGGAUUUGCUGGGUGUAAAGGGCGUGCAGCCGGGAGUGCAAGUCAGAUGUGAAAUCCAUGGGCUCAACCCAUGAACUGCAUUUGAAACUGUACUUCUUGAGUACCGGGGGGGCAAUCGGAAUUCCUAGUGUAGCGGUGAAAUGCGUAGAUAUUAGGAGGAACACCAGUGGCGAAGGCGGAUUGCUGGACGGCAACUGACGGUGAGGCGCGAAUGUGUGGGGAGCAAAC
RNAcentral lists this ribosomal RNA (250 nucleotides) under uncultured prokaryote. RNAcentral describes it as "partial 16S ribosomal RNA". It matches the Rfam family "Bacterial small subunit ribosomal RNA", at positions 524 to 773 of the family's 1533-position model. The record is from RNAcentral.